This 859-nucleotide ribosomal RNA is filed under the name uncultured bacterium. RNAcentral's name for it is "bacterial SSU rRNA". It matches the Rfam family "Bacterial small subunit ribosomal RNA", at positions 27 to 887 of the family's 1533-position model. The record is from RNAcentral.
GGAUGAACGCUAGCGGCAGGCUUAAUACAUGCAAGUCGAACGGUAAGGUCUCUUCGGAGAUACACGAGUGGCGCACGGGUGCGUAACGCGUAUGCAACCUACCUUUAACUGGGAAAUAGCCCCGAGAAAUCGGGAUUAAUGUCCCAUAUUAUUCUUUGAAUGCAUAUUCGAAGAAUGAAAGCUCCGGCGGUUAUUGAUGGGCAUGCGUGACAUUAGCUAGUUGGUGAGGUAACGGCUCACCAAGGCUACGAUGUCUAGGGGUCCUGAGAGGGUUAACCCCCACACUGGUACUGAGACACGGACCAGACUCCUACGGGAGGCAGCAGUAAGGAAUAUUGGGCAAUGGACGCAAGUCUGACCCAGCCAUGCCGCGUGAAGGAUGAAUGUCCUAUGGAUUGUAAACUUCUUUUAUGCAGGAAAAAUAUCCCGGUCGUGAACCAGGAUUGAUGGUACUGUAUGAAUAAGCAUCGGCUAACUCCGUGCCAGCAGCCGCGGUAAUACGGAGGAUGCAAGCGUUAUCCGGAUUCAUUGGGUUUAAAGGGUGCGCAGGCGGAAUAAUAAGUCAGUGGUGAAAUCUCCCGGCUCAACCGGGAAACUGCCAUUGAUACUGUUAUUCUUGAGUACAGUUGAAGUGGGCGGAAUGUGUCAUGUAGCGGUGAAAUGCUUAGAUAUGACACAGAACACCGAUAGCGAAGGCAGCUCACUAAGCUGUAACUGACGCUCAUGCACGAAAGCGUGGGGAUCAAACAGGAUUAGAUACCCUGGUAGUCCACGCUGUAAACGAUGAUCACUCGUUGUUGGCGAUAUACUGUCAGCGACUGAGGGAAACCAUUAAGUGAUCCACCUGGGGAGUACGGCG